GACCACGUAGCUCAGUUGGCAGAGCAUUGGGCUUACUUUCCAAAGGUCGUAGGUUCGAUUCCCACCGUGGCCA
Non-coding RNA from Paramuricea clavata, 73 nucleotides. The record is from the annotation of a GenBank genome assembly. NCBI's taxonomy places the organism in Eukaryota, Metazoa, Cnidaria, Anthozoa, Malacalcyonacea, Plexauridae.